Molecule: ribosomal RNA, 403 nt
Filed under: Verrucomicrobiota bacterium
Lineage: Bacteria; Pseudomonadati; Verrucomicrobiota
Description: Verrucomicrobia bacterium partial 16S ribosomal RNA
Rfam family: Bacterial small subunit ribosomal RNA
Source: RNAcentral
UGGGGAAUAUUGCACAAUGGGCGCAAGCCUGAUGCAGCAACGCCUCGUGAACGAUGAAGGUCUUCGGAUCGUAAAGUUCUGUUGCAGGGGAAGAUAAUGACGGUACCCUGUGAGGAAGCCCCGGCUAACUACGUGCCAGCAGCCGCGGUAAUACGUAGGGGGCUAGCGUUAUCCGGAUUUACUGGGCGUAAAGGGUGCGUAGGUGGUCUUUCAAGUCGGUGGUUAAAGGCUACGGCUCAACCGUAGUUAGCCUCCGAAACUGGAAGACUUGAGUGCAGGAGAGGAAAGUGGAAUUCCCAGUGUAGCGGUGAAAUGCGUAGAUAUUGGGAGGAACACCAGUAGCGAAGGCGGCUUUCUGGACUGCAACUGACACUGAGGCACGAAAGCGUGGGUAGCAAACAGG